AAUGGCUGCAGUAAUAUAACUGUACAAAGGUAGCAUAAUCAUUAGUUUUUUAAUUAAAAGCUUGUAUGAAAGGUUGGACGAAGUAAAAUCUGUCUCUUUUUAAUAUAAUUAGAAUUUAAUUUUUAAGUAAAAAAGCUUAAAUUUAUAUAAAAGACGAGAAGACCCUAUAGAGUUUAAUAAUUUAUUAUAAAUAAUUAAUUUAGAUUUAUUUAUUUUAUUUAUUAUAAAAUUAUUUUAUUGGGGUAAUAAAAAGAUUAAUAUAAUUCUUUUUUUUAUAUAACAUUAAUAUAUGAAUUAAAUGAUCCAUUUUUAUGAUUAAAAGAUUAAAUUACCUUAGGGAUAACAGCGUAAUUUUUUUAAAGAGUUCAUAUCGAUAAAAAAGUUUGCGACCUCGAUGUUGGAUUAAAGAUUAAUUUAGGUGUAGAAGUUUAAAUUUUUGGUCUGUUCGACCAUUAAAUCUUUACAUGAUCUGAGUUCAAACCGGUGUAAGCCAGGUUGGUUUCUAUCUUUAUAAGAUUUUUAUAUUUUAGUACGAAAGGACCAAAUAUUUAAUAUAUAAAUAUUUAAUUAUUUUGAAUAU
This 580-nucleotide ribosomal RNA is filed under the name Duvalius canevae. RNAcentral describes it as "partial 16S ribosomal RNA". It matches the Rfam family "Bacterial large subunit ribosomal RNA", at positions 1926 to 2788 of the family's 2925-position model. Lineage: Eukaryota; Metazoa; Arthropoda; Insecta; Coleoptera; Carabidae. The record is from RNAcentral.